GACGAACGCUGGCGGCGUGCUUAACACAUGCAAGUCGAACGGAAAGGCCCUGCUUUUGUGGGGUGCUCGAGUGGCGAACGGGUGAGUAACACGUGAGUAACCUGCCCUUGACUUUGGGAUAACUUCAGGAAACUGGGGCUAAUACCGGAUAGGAGCUCCUGAUGCAUGGUGGGGGUUGGAAAGUUUCGGCGGUUGGGGAUGGUCUCGCGGUUUAUCAGCUUGUUGGUGGGGUAGUGGCUUACCAAGGCUUCGACGGGUAGCCGGCCCGAGAGGGUGACCGGCCACCUUGGGACUGAGGUACGGCCCAGACUCCUACGGGAGGCAGCAGUGGGAAAUAUUGCACAAUGAGCGGAAGCCUGAUGCAGCAACCCCGCGUGCGGGAUGACGUCCUUCGGGUUGUAAACCGCUUUCGCCUGUUACGAAGCGUGAGUGACGGUAAUGGGUAAAGAAGCACCGGCUAACUACGUG
Molecule: ribosomal RNA, 468 nt
Filed under: uncultured bacterium
Lineage: Bacteria
Description: partial 16S ribosomal RNA
Rfam family: Bacterial small subunit ribosomal RNA
Source: RNAcentral